AGCCUUUCGAUAAGGUCAGUUUUAUAAUGGUCUCAACCUUUCGAUGAGCUCGGUCUCCUCAUGAUCUCGACCUCUUGAUGAGGUCAAUUUUUUGAUGAUCUCGACCUCUUAAUGAGGUUAGCUUUCUAAUGAGCUUGACUUUCUGAUGAGCUCGAUCUCCUGAUGAGGUCGGUCUUUUGAUAAGUUCGAUCUUUUGAUGAGCUUGGCCUCCUCAUGAUC
This 219-nucleotide long non-coding RNA is filed under the name Elaeis guineensis (African oil palm). RNAcentral describes it as "long non-coding RNA (EGUI_LNC042255)". The record is from RNAcentral. Lineage: Eukaryota; Viridiplantae; Streptophyta; Magnoliopsida; Arecales; Arecaceae.